This 549-nucleotide ribosomal RNA is filed under the name uncultured bacterium. RNAcentral's name for it is "bacterial SSU rRNA". It matches the Rfam family "Bacterial small subunit ribosomal RNA", at positions 356 to 896 of the family's 1533-position model. The record is from RNAcentral.
GGGGAAUCUUCCGCAAUGGACGAAAGUCUGACGGAGCAACGCCGCGUGAGUGAUGAAGGUCUUCGGAUUGUAAAGCUCUGUUAAUCGGGACGAAAGAGUUCUGUGUAAAUAAUGCAGAAAAGUGACGGUACCGGAAUAGAAAGCCACGGCUAACUACGUGCCAGCAGCCGCGGUAAUACGUAGGUGGCAAGCGUUGUCCGGAAUUAUUGGGCGUAAAGCGCGCGCAGGCGGCCUAUCCAGUCUGUCUUAAAAGUUCGGGGCUCAACCCCGUGAUGGGAUGGAAACUAGUAGGCUAGAGUAUCGGAGAGGAAAGCGGAAUUCCUAGUGUAGCGGUGAAAUGCGUAGAUAUUAGGAAGAACACCAGUGGCGAAGGCGGCUUUCUGGACGAAAACUGACGCUGAGGCGCGAAAGCCAGGGGAGCGAACGGGAUUAGAUACCCCGGUAGUCCUGGCCGUAAACGAUGGGUACUAGGUGUAGGAGGUAUCGACCCCUUCUGUGCCGGAGUUAACGCAAUAAGUACCCCGCCUGGGGAGUACGGUCGCAAGGCUG